UACGUAGGGGGCGAGCGUUGUCCGAAGUUACUGGGCGUAAAGCGCGCGUAGGCGGCUCUUUAAGUCUGAGGUGAAAGGUUCAGCGCUCAACGUGAACAGUGCCUUGGAUACUGGAGAGCUUGAGUUCGGGAGAGGGUAGUGGAAUUCCCGGUGUAGCGGUGAAAUGCGCAGAUAUCGGGAGGAACACCAAUGGCGAAGGCGAGUCCCUGGACAACACCUGACACUGAGGCACGAAAGCUAGGGGAGCAAACAGG
RNAcentral lists this ribosomal RNA (254 nucleotides) under uncultured bacterium. RNAcentral's name for it is "partial 16S ribosomal RNA". It matches the Rfam family "Bacterial small subunit ribosomal RNA", at positions 524 to 776 of the family's 1533-position model. The record is from RNAcentral.